RNAcentral lists this ribosomal RNA (457 nucleotides) under uncultured bacterium. Its description in RNAcentral is "SSU rRNA". It matches the Rfam family "Bacterial small subunit ribosomal RNA", at positions 26 to 518 of the family's 1533-position model. The record is from RNAcentral.
AGAAUCAACGCUGGCGGCGUGCCUAACACAUGCAAGUCGAACGAGAAAGGGGAGCAAUCCCUGAGUAAAGUGGCGCACGGGUGAGUAACACGUGACUAACCUACCCUGGAGUGGGGGAUAACUGAGGGAAACCUUAGCUAAUACCGCAUAAUACCUAUGGGUCAAAGGAGCAAUUCGCUUUGGGAGGGGUCGCGGCCGAUUAGUUAGUUGGCGGGGUAAUGGCCCACCAAGACAGUGAUCGGUAUCCGGCCUGAGAGGGCGCACGGACACACUGGAACUGAAACACGGUCCAGACUCCUACGGGAGGCAGCAGUGGGGAAUUUGCGCAAUGGGGAAACCCUGACGCAGCAACGCCGCGUGGAGGAUGAAGUACUUCGGUACGUAAACUCCUUUCGAUCGGGACGAUAAUGACGGUACCGGAAGAAGAAGCCCCGGCUAACUUCGUGCCAGCAGCCGC